UACAGAGGUCUCAAGCGUUGUUCGGAUUCAUUGGGCGUAAAGGGUGUGUAGGUGGCGCGCUAAGUCGGGUGUGAAAUUUCGGAGCUUAACUCGGAAACUGCCGUGGAUACUAUUAGUCUUGAAUCUCGUGGAGGUAAGCGGAAUAUGUCAUGUAGCGGUGAAAUGCUUAGAUAUGACAUAGAACACCGAUAGCGAAGGCAGCUUGCUACACGAGUAUUGACACUGAGGCACGAAAGCGUGGGGAUCAAACAGG
This 253-nucleotide ribosomal RNA is filed under the name uncultured bacterium. RNAcentral's name for it is "partial 16S ribosomal RNA". It matches the Rfam family "Bacterial small subunit ribosomal RNA", at positions 524 to 776 of the family's 1533-position model. The record is from RNAcentral.